RNAcentral lists this long non-coding RNA (1643 nucleotides) under Betta splendens (Siamese fighting fish). Its description in RNAcentral is "lncRNA (ENSBSLG00000016619.1)". The record is from RNAcentral. Lineage: Eukaryota; Metazoa; Chordata; Actinopteri; Anabantiformes; Osphronemidae.
GCAUAGAGAAUGUAGUUGAACCCUCACUGAUGUGACCGCUGUGGAUGUCUCAAUAAGUGCUUUACAUUUUCUGCGUUUAUGUGAGGGCGGUAACCUGCACUGCCAAGAAGGACAGACCCCCCCCCCCCCCCCCCCCCCCCCCCCCCCCCCCCCCCCCCUUACUCGCACAGAUCAACACACAGUUGCAGAGUAAAUGCCAGCCCUGCACCCCUUCCCCCAUACCGAUGCCCAGAGACUGACCGGGGCUACUGUGGACGUAUGCAGAGACACACACACACACACACACACACACACACACACACACACACACACACACACACACACACACACACACACACACACACACACACACACACACACACACACUGUUGAUUGAGGAAUGGACAGACCGAUCGCUGCUGUGAUGGGAAACUGCUGGUUCCUGGAGGGAAGCAGCCACCGACGAGCGAAAGCAGGUCUUGACUUGUAUGGGACGUUUCCUUUGGGACCAGAUACUCGAGCGCAGCCAGAAGAAAAGGAAGGACGACGACACUUUGUUUCGCCUCGGAGUGUACAGAGCGGGGACAGAUGUAGAAUAUCAAAAGCUGAAGAGGCACUCAGCCAUCGGCACUCCAUCCUAGUGUUGCAUGACCCUCUGCAAGUGGACUGUACAUGUUUGAUAUGAUCAUCCUUGUACAAGUGCUUCAUUUUUGAUCAAUCCUUUCUGGACUGUUUCAACACUAAUCUUGUGGAAGAUUAUUUGUCUCUGAAAAAGAAAAUGCCAGUGUCUCUGAUUCAUGGCUCAAGGGUUGUACAGGAAUUUGUGGCUGCAUUUCAAUAUGUUUACUUUUUCGGUGCCUCUUCACGUUUUCGGAUAAGCCAAAGUAGACUGCAGCUGCUUCUGUUCUUGUUGAAAUACUUCAAUUAACCUUAUUUGUUGUUUCUAGAUCGAUAUUUAAGUUUCAGCAGUCCGUCCACUUUGCUAUACCGAGCUGAUGUGUGCAUGUUUUAUCCGCUCCCUCGAGUGAAAUGCAAAAAGGCUGAAGGCUGCUUCCUUCCUUUUUUUACAUUUCAGUAGUGACAGACUGCGCCCCCCAUUUUUAUAAAAGGCUGAAUGAUGUACCAAAACCAUUAUUUAAUUUGUUGUACCCUGAAAAAACCAAAAGAGAUACUGUUGAUCAGUACUAGAAUGUGUCCUCUCCAUUGUGUUAAAUUACCUGAGAAGAAAGAUGAGAAACACGUGAGCUCUUUACACUGGUACUUGGUUAUGUCCCAAUAUAAUUCUCUUUAAUAGCUUUUCUUUUCAUAUGACGUGCUGCAAAAGCAAAGAAAAAGAUACAAUAAUACAGUCUCAUGCUUAAAACAAAUGCAUGUGUAAUGUAUUGUAUGCAUAUUGUUUCAUUUUGAUCGAUUUUCCUUUCACACAAGGCUUUAACUCAAAAAAAUGCUGUUAUAACAAAUUAUUAUUUGUAUUAUACUAUUAUACGGAUUUCAUUUUGCCCCAUUUUGCUUGUUUGUUUGUUUUUAACUUAUUUUAACUUGUAAAAAGUUGUUGAUAUUUAUUAUCAUUGUACAUAUGUCCUUAUUUUUUAUAUGUGUGUAUAUAUAUAUAAAUAUAUGUAUACACAAAUAAAAAUAGAGAUAUAGUUAAGGUGUGUGAGUUU